GGGCUUGACAUCCCACGAACCUGCCCGAAAGGGUAGGGUGCCCGCAAGGGAGCGUGGAGACAGGUGGUGCAUGGCUGUCGUCAGCUCGUGUCGUGAGAUGUUGGGUUAAGUCCCGCAACGAGCGCGACCCUCACCCCUUGUUGCCACCGGGUCAUGCCGAGCACUCUAGGGGAACUGCCAGCGUCAAGCUGGAGGAAGGCGGGGAUGACGUCAAGUCAUCAUGCCCCUUACGCCCUGGGCGACACACGUGCUACAAUGGCUGGUACAAAGGGAUGCAAGACCGCGAGGUGGAGCUAAUCCCAGAAAACCGGUCUAAGUUCAGAUUGCAGUCUGCAACUCGACUGCAUGAAGGAGGAAUCGCUAGUAAUCGCGCAUCAGCACGGCGCGGUGAAUACGUUCCCGGGCCUUGUACACACCGCCCAUCACACCACGAAAGCCGGCUGUACUCGAAGUCGCUGAG
This 460-nucleotide ribosomal RNA is filed under the name uncultured Methylomirabilota bacterium. Its description in RNAcentral is "bacterial SSU rRNA". It matches the Rfam family "Bacterial small subunit ribosomal RNA", at positions 977 to 1434 of the family's 1533-position model. Lineage: Bacteria; Methylomirabilota (SeqCode). The record is from RNAcentral.